Long non-coding RNA from Canis lupus familiaris (dog), 4504 nucleotides. RefSeq lists it as uncharacterized. The transcript is spliced from 2 exons. The record is from RefSeq and is a predicted model, not a curated record. Lineage: Eukaryota; Metazoa; Chordata; Mammalia; Carnivora; Canidae.
UCAUUUGUAAAGUCCUCAAAGUGAGCAACUCUGGCCUAACCAGAAACAGCAAUUCAGUUCUAGAUGGCUUAGGGGCAGAGGAAGGCUGGCCCACUACAAGAAAACAACGGAAAAAAAAAAAGGGGUGGGGGGAUUUAUAGAGGCAAGAACGAGGCGCCGGGUAACCCAGCGGGAGAGUGAAAGGGCCCGGCGCGCUGGACGCGGGGCCAGAGGCCCAGGACGCCGUGGCUCCUCCCAAUGAGGAAGCGGGAGGCGCUCGGCCGCACUGAGGAGGCGCCCCGGGCACGCCGAGCCCCAGGCCUGUCGCAAGGAGGGUCGCGCCUGUGGAGCCUCGAGGACCGGCCGCAGGGGUCCAGGCUUCCCGCCGGCGCCGACUCCACCCCGGAGGCCUGAGUCACCGUCCGCGCGGCCCACAGGCCCCACAGGCCCCAGAGGUUACCUUCGGCAGGGAACUCCUCGAACUCGUCGUCUUCCUCCAGGAGACCCAGAUCUACCGGCUGCUUCUUCUCUGACAUGGCGACGCUCCGCGCCAAAAGCCUGUCAGGCCGAGAGGAAAGUUGGAACUCUUGACUUCUCCUCGCCUGAGCCACCAGCGCCCCGGCUGCCUCCGAGGCCGGCACUUACCAUAGAGACGCGGUAGGAGAGCAACGGGAGCAGCGCGGGGAAUGCUGGGAUGCUGGAGGUCCGCCCGGCGCUUCCUGCGGGUGUAGCAAUCCAUCAGAGGUUAGAGGUGAAGCGUUUUGUGCCUUUAUUCUUUUACCUGGACUCAAUGAGUUGGCAAAUUUGGCAUCCGGGAUCUCACAUUGGUUUCUAUGGGAACAAGAAUGGCUUUGAAGAGGAGCAUUUUAAGAACUCUUUUUACAUUCAGUGACUGCUAACUGAACUGCAAAUUCUGUUUGUUAACGUUUUUAACUCUUAAAUUUUAACACAGAAAUAAAAGUUGGGCAUUCUAGCUUCAUAAAUCAUUUUAAAUAGUAAAAACUAUUUUUAUGAAACAUCUGGCACAUUGAAACAUUAGAAAAUAAAAUAACUAGCUUUAGGAGCUAAUAAUCUGUUAAUUCAUUAGUGAUUAAUCCACACUAGCUAUGUGCUUGCUCUUGGAAAAUUGUGUAAAGAAAACAUCAUCUGAUAUAUUGUUUCAAUACAUUUUCUCUGCUAUUGAUGGGUGUAUAUAUGUUUUCUUACUUUUGUAAAAAUCCCUUUAAAAAGCAGUAUAAAAUGUUCUGCAUUUAAAGUUUCCCCCUGCCAAUGCCUCACCCAUCCUGUGCUAUUAUUUACCCUGGUACAAUGUUAUACCUUUACCGUGUUCUCACACCAGCUGGAACUUAUUUUUAGUAUUUUUUGAAACAAGCUCAUAAGUCUUCAAGUUUCAUUUUUUUCUUUUUCUUGGAAUAGAUUUUUAAAUCAUAAAAAGCCCAAGGUGUAACUUAGGUAUUACAUUUGUGCAGUUUACUAUAUUUAAUAUUUCCUCACAUUUCAUGUUUUCCCAUAAACUUUAUUUUUUUAAUUCCCUGGAGAAAUGAUAUUUCAGUAUAUUUUUAUUUAAUCCCUCUCAAAGUAAUUAAAACCCACUAAAAAUAAGAGAAGCUUAUUUCAGAAAAGAGUGCUAAAACUAAAUUUUUGUAAUGCCCAAACUAUAAAAGAUGCCGGUUGAAAGCACAUGGCAUCCCAUAACCAGCUUAUGUAAUAGCUACUCCAGUUAUUGCUGACAUAUAAUCUGUGUCUUAAAUCCAAAAAGUGCAGGUUGAUGGCAGAGUGCCAGGCAGGGUGGAAUAAGCGAGUGUUUUUUACCUUCUUGGAUUGGUGGAUUUCUGCUGUUCACAGUGUUGCCCUAGACUUGGUCAGGAUUGCUAGAGACUAGAAACAGUUUGAGAAGUCAAGCUGCUGGCAUUGUGUGACCAAGAGACUAUCCUGUAAGGUACUGACUUGGUAUAAACUCCAAUAAACUGUUUGUUUUUUUUUCUUUCAUAAAAGUAUUUUUCAUUCAGAUUUGAUUUUAUGAAAUAAAUGAGAGAUUAUUACACUUUUAAAAAAGGGAAGAUAAAUAAGUGGGAAACAUGUAACCAAAUGUUUUGGGAAAAUGAUUAAUUGAUUGACUCUUCUGUUUUUUAAAAGUUGAUUUUCAAGUGAAGCAGAAAGCAAGCUGAAAAGUAAAAGCAAGUAUUAUGUUAAUCUUCAGAAGAGAAAUAUAUAUAAAGUAUCUGAAUCUGAAAGUGAGGAAAAUAGUCGUUAGGGCUACUCAAAAUAGGAUCCAUGGAUCAGUGCCUAUCUGGGAAAAGAUAAAUACAAACAGUGACUCUUAAAGCACUUUGACAUUGCCAUUUCAUCCAAUCCUGUGAUUUUAUAUCUUACAAAAAUCAGCCCAUGGCAUUUGGGAAUUUUUAAAAUUUAGUACAGUUAGUUUGAGUUGUACUGAUUCAGCAUAAGUUAUUAUAAAUCAGAAAAAAAAAGUGCCAUUUCAACUUCAUGUUAUUGAAAAUAAUUUAUCCUAUGUGAUUCUGUCUGAAAGCUAGGAAGUGAAAGUUUUUUUUAUCUCUGAAAGAUCUCUUUCUAGUCCUAAAAUAACAUCUUUAUUUUCAUAAGAUUAUAGCAAAGGAGGCUGAAGCCGAUAUUUUCUCCUUUUGCAGAUAUAAAAACAAAAGUACCAAGGGCUUAAGUGAGAUGUCUGGUAUUACACAAUUACUAUCAAAAUUUUAAAGUCAAGGUAAGAAGAGCAUUGUACAGAACUUGUUUAAUAUUCUAAUGAAUAAAAUAAAAACAGCCUAGCUUGAUUAUGGCAGCAAAUGUGAUAUAUUUGCAAUUUCAUAUAGUAGAUGGCAGUGAUUUGUCUUAAGAUUUCAGAAGGAAAAGCAUUGUCUUACAGCCAUUCAAUGGAUUACUAGUGAAACUACACAAUACUAAAAAUCAAGGUGAGGGGUUUGAAAGAAUUCACUAAGCAAAACCAAAAUUGAAGAGAAUAAAGAAAGGUAGGAACACAUGUAUAGUUUGGCUAAAGAACUGUUAAGAGAAGAAAUAUCAGUCCACACUUCUUGAAAGAUGUAAAAUCCCAUAGGAGAAAAGGCUUGCUACCUUGGACUACAAAUAGAAAUCAAAUGAAAAUAUAAAAGGGAGAGUUUAGAGGUACACUGGGAAUUUGUGUUAGUUGCUGAGAGUAUUAAGUUAGUUGAGUGGGCGCCUAAAGGAAUCUCUGAGGACAUUUAAAACCUCAUUGAACAAAGCCGUGGACAUUGUAUUAUGGAGAGCAAGACUUCAAUGGCAAGGGGGAUGGACUGGAUCAACCAUGAGGUCUUUUCCAGCUCUAAUUUCUCGUAUUCCAUAGCUCUGUGAAGAAUAGUUGCUAAAUUGCUUGAUCAACCCAGACAAACAAAACUCACACAAGAAUAAAACCCCAGACAAAACAAUAAAGUUAGCCAAAAUUGAAACACGCCCCUCCAAAAAAGAAAAACAAAAACCCUAAAUCUUGCAUCAUAUACCAAAGACAAUAAAUUCAGAUUCUGGCAACCUGCCCAGAGAAAUGAAUUCCAGAGACAGGACCCUUCAGUGAGCAAACCCAACCAAAAGGUUGGGAGAGUUCAACUUCUCAGUUAGGCUUGCAAAAACUCCCAGCUGAUCUUAAUACUAGAGCAGGCUUAAAAAGUGAAAAGGGAAAGAAAUCUAUUAAAGAAUCUGGUCUCUGAGUGAACUAUUCAUUCAACAAGGAUUUAUGGAGUGCCUGCUAUACACCAGCCACUACUCUAAGAUAGGGUACUUCAGUGAACAAAACAGACAAGAUCUCUAUUAUUGUGAUACUCACAUUCUACUAUGAGGAGCAAUAAACAGCACAGGAUGAUAUAAGUUAAGGGGUGGUAAGUGCUAAGUAGGGUAAAAAGCAGGGGGUGGAAUCUGGGCAAGUGACUAUUUAAUAGUGCAACCAGGGAAGAACUCAAGGAGGAGAGACAUCUGAGCAAGACUGGAAGUGAAAGGAGGUAGCCAGGUGGAUUUGGGGGAAGAACAUUCAGCAUAUAGCAGGAAGGUUGGAGCAAAUCUGGUGUGUCUGAGGAAGAGGAGGGAGACUAGUGUGGUUGGAGAGGAAUGAGCAUAAGGAAAAGUAUGGAGUGAGUCAAGGAAGCCUUCUAGGUUGUCCAACUCCAUUUGAGUUAACUACCCACAUUUUGCAUCUAGGAUUCUAGAAACUAAUUUAUGCCAGGUAGCAACUUUCCUGGGAAACCACUCCACCCACAUGUCAACAGUGUUUCUGCAGAUUACUUCAGUCUAUAAGCUUUACUCAUGUCAGCAUUAUCCAGGGAUGUGGGCCCUUAGUGUAAAAAUAUGUCCUAUAGUUACUGCUACUGAGAAUGAGGAAGACUCAUCAGCAUUGAAAUUUUGGAUAUUUGCUUGCAUUUCUUCUUAGAUCGGCAAUAAAAAAUCCAAACAAAAUUGUAUUUGUGAUCUUUGUAUUAUAUUCGCACAUAUAUGAAAUAUGUCUUCUGUCACAGAAAAUAAAAUCCUGAUAUCAGCAAUUCUA